CAGCUGGACCGGACGGUCGCUCUCGCCGCGUCAAGUGGCGAGGGAGGAAAGUCCGAACUCCACAGAGCAGUGUGCCGGAUAACGUCCGGGAGAUGGGUGCCCCAUCCUAAAUUUCGCGUUCUUUGCGAAAUUUAGGGUGGGACUCCAGUCGACGGAAAGUGCCACAGAAAACAUACCGCCCCGCCGUUCCGGUGAGUCUUCGUCAUGGAAGCGAGGACUGACUGGAACGGCGUGGUAAGGGUGAAAAGGUGCGGUAAGAGCGCACCGCCGCCGCAGUAAUGCCGCGGGCAUGGCAAACCCCACACGGAGCAAGACCAAAUAGGGAGGAAGCCUCAGGUUCGCCUGAGGCACGUGCCGACUCGGUGCGUCAAACCUUCGGGUAGGUCGCUUGAGCCGCGCAGCAAUGUGCGGCCCAGAGGAAUGACCGUCCUGCCCGCAAGGGCAGACAGAAUUCGGCUUACAGGUCCGGCUGCCAU
This 476-nucleotide RNase P RNA is filed under the name Acidobacteriota bacterium. RNAcentral describes it as "Acidobacteria bacterium RNase P RNA component class A". It matches the Rfam family "Bacterial RNase P class A". From Rfam's summary of the family: Ribonuclease P (RNase P) is a ubiquitous endoribonuclease, found in archaea, bacteria and eukarya as well as chloroplasts and mitochondria. Lineage: Bacteria; Pseudomonadati; Acidobacteriota. The record is from RNAcentral.